Molecule: ribosomal RNA, 253 nt
Filed under: uncultured bacterium
Lineage: Bacteria
Description: partial 16S ribosomal RNA
Rfam family: Bacterial small subunit ribosomal RNA
Source: RNAcentral
UACGAAGGGGGCUAGCGUUGCUCGGAAUCACUGGGCGUAAAGGGUGCGUAGGCGGGUUUUUAAGUCAGGGGUGAAAUCCUGGAGCUCAACUCCAGAACUGCCUUUGAUACUGGCAACCUAGAGACUGGAAGAGGUUAGUGGAAUUCCCAGUGUAGAGGUGAAAUUCGUAGAUAUUGGGAAGAACACCAGUGGCGAAGGCGGCUAACUGGUCCAGCACUGACGCUGAGGUGCGAAAGCGUGGGGAGCAAACAGG